GAGUUUGAUCCUGGCUCAGAACGAACGCUGGCGGCGUGCCUAACACAUGCAAGUCGAACGUGAUCCAGAGCUUGCUCUGGUGAAAGUGGCGCACGGGUGAGUAACGCGUGGAUAACCUACCCUGGUAUCCGGGAUAACAUUCCGAAAGGGGUGCUAAUACCGGAUAAGCCCACGGGCUCUUUGGAGCUUGCGGGAAAAGGUGGCCUCUAUUUAUAAGCUACUGUAUCAGGAUGGGUCCGCGUACCAUUAGCUAGUUGGCGGUGUAACGGACCACCAAGGCGACGAUGGUUAGCUGGUCUGAGAGGAUGACCAGCCACACUGGAACUGAGACACGGUCCAGACUCCUACGGGAGGCAGCAGUGGGGAAUUUUGCGCAAUGGGGGAAACCCAGACGCAGCAACGCCGCGUGAGUGAUGAAGGCCUUUGGGUCGUAAAGCUCUGUCAGAGGGGAAGAAAUGAUAUAGUGCUAAUACCACUUUAUCUUGACGGUACCCUCAAAGGAAGCACCGGCUAACUCCGUGCCAGCAGCCGCGGUAAUAC
This 540-nucleotide ribosomal RNA is filed under the name uncultured Geobacteraceae bacterium. RNAcentral's name for it is "bacterial SSU rRNA". It matches the Rfam family "Bacterial small subunit ribosomal RNA", at positions 9 to 526 of the family's 1533-position model. Lineage: Bacteria; Pseudomonadati; Thermodesulfobacteriota; Desulfuromonadia; Geobacterales; Geobacteraceae. The record is from RNAcentral.